GCGCCUGUAGCUCACCGGACAGAGCGCGCGGCUCCGGACCGCGAGGCAGCAGGUUCGAUUCCUGCCAGGCGCA
RNAcentral lists this transfer RNA (73 nucleotides) under Chloroflexota bacterium. RNAcentral describes it as "Chloroflexi bacterium tRNA-Arg". It matches the Rfam family "tRNA". From Rfam's summary of the family: Transfer RNA (tRNA) molecules are approximately 80 nucleotides in length. Their secondary structure includes four short double-helical elements and three loops (D, anti-codon, and T loops). Lineage: Bacteria; Bacillati; Chloroflexota. RNAcentral also lists the same sequence under 1 other name. The record is from RNAcentral.